RNAcentral lists this transfer RNA (74 nucleotides) under Myotis myotis. It matches the Rfam family "tRNA". From Rfam's summary of the family: Transfer RNA (tRNA) molecules are approximately 80 nucleotides in length. Lineage: Eukaryota; Metazoa; Chordata; Mammalia; Chiroptera; Vespertilionidae. The record is from Rfam by way of RNAcentral. RNAcentral also lists the same sequence under 1 other name.
GCCUGGAUGGCUCAGUUGGUUGGAGUGUCAUCCCAUACACUAAAAGGUUGCAGGUUCGAUUCCUGAUCAGGGCA